Molecule: long non-coding RNA, 353 nt
Organism: Erigeron canadensis
Lineage: Eukaryota; Viridiplantae; Streptophyta; Magnoliopsida; Asterales; Asteraceae
Exons: 2
Source: RefSeq, a predicted model, not a curated record
UCAAGGGACGGAUCCAGCAUGGGGCAACUGCCCCCACUUCAAUCUUGGUUGCACAAAUGAGUAAGAUAUACGACUUCAAAAUUUGCCCCCUCGUUUAAAAAAACUCUGGCUCCGUCCUUACUUUUAUGUGACGACAUCGAAGCCCCGACAGGUGUGAGUGGGGACGGUAUUGGUAGUGAUGGUGGAUUGUGUGGCGGCCAACGACGAUGGUGAUCGGAUUAGAUGGAAUCCUUUGUGAUUCGACAGAUCUACAGUGUCCGAUCCGAAUAUACUCACAAUAUAAUGAUAUUCGGAUGUUAUUUUGGUUUUAUGUUUAGAAUUUUUAAAUCAGGAAUUUAAUUGGUUACCAUUGA